This 27-nucleotide small RNA is filed under the name Bombyx mori (domestic silkworm). RNAcentral's name for it is "ovarian small RNA-14966". Lineage: Eukaryota; Metazoa; Arthropoda; Insecta; Lepidoptera; Bombycidae. The record is from RNAcentral.
CUGUAUGAUGGAUAUGGGAGUGUCUUC